This is a long non-coding RNA of Olea europaea var. sylvestris, 1846 nucleotides long. RefSeq lists it as uncharacterized. Lineage: Eukaryota; Viridiplantae; Streptophyta; Magnoliopsida; Lamiales; Oleaceae. The transcript has 2 exons. The record is from RefSeq and is a predicted model, not a curated record.
AGGGCCCACCAAGGAGUUAUUGGGAACUGGGUGGCAAUUACCGGUGGUGCAGAUCAUAUUCUGUUGUUCACGAUUCUUGUAAUUAUCAAAAUUGUUCUCAUGACCACCAGAAGGAUUCCCAAUUGCAGCCAUCUAUGAUCUAAAACUUAAUCAAUUUGCUCUAGAAUGUUUUUGGGGAUUUUGUUUCCCUAUUUUUGAGGUUAAGUGAAUUGAAUAGGUUGUGUGUUACCACGAAAAAGUAGAGUCUGUCUGUAAACAAUUUAGCUGACGAGAGAUUGAUAUCAAUAAUUAAAAUGUAUUUCUAUAAAGGAGAAAAAUUAGGAAAGUUGCAAUAAAUUAUUCGUAUAAAUUGGAGUAAAGGAGUCGGUUUCUACAUUUAAGUGGUUAACUAAAGAGGCAUUGGUAAGAAUUUUAUAGGCAUAUACAAAAUUCAGCGAAAUACAUACAAAAAUAAAACAUAGGAGUUUUGCCCCCUCGUCUUUCGGCUUUUUGAUCCUCGUCUCGACCUUCUUAUAGAAAAGAAAAACCAUAAAACCUUGAAAAACUACGAAAACUCCUUGAAAAUAUUCUCCAACCAAAGAACCCAUGAAAAGUACAAUUCAUCUAAAUGCUAAGAUAACAGUCCACAGUGUAUCAAAACCUAACUAAUUAACACCCUUGGCAUAGUAGGAUUCAAGGAAUAAUUGCUCAGACUGAAACAACCCCAUGAUAUAAAAUAACAAUAACUGUCCCAUCUAACUAUUAUAUUUAAUAAAUAUGUUGUAAAUCUCCAAGAGUUAAAAAUAGUAUUUGACUUUUAUCAUAAUCCGUUUUGGAUGUUACUGAAUGUAUAAAGAAUACCUAUAAUUACAUUAAUUGAAUAGAAUUUUAAUAUUCCUGAACAAAAAUUCUGACGCAAAAGUUGGAUUUUUGGUCAUUUCAUGCAUAGUAUCUCUGCUAAUUUGUUUAUUAAUUGUGCAGAUUUUCUAUUUUAUGAAUUAUGGGUAGCAUGUGAUUAUCAGGUCCCUGCUCUGUAAGGUGCUGUUGGAGUCAUUUUUGGUCCACUUGGAUGAGGAAUCAAACCUGGAAUUUGAUACCAAUGGUAGAGAGACAAGUAUAUCAGUAAAGCAGACAACCGAACUAUGGUUAUUGGCAUCAGCACAAUGCUUCUUGCAAUGUGGAGUUCGCAAGUUACACCUAAUGGUUUUUGCAUACAAAACAUACAUAUAUGUAUAUGCAUAUAAGGACUCGUGUAAAACCUUUCGUGUAUGUAUAAUUCUCACCUUAGAUAUAUAGUCCAAGUGCAAAGCUUUUAAGGAAAGUCUAACAUGUAUAUGUUUCAAAAAAGAUAUUUAAAAUUUCAAUCAGUUUUCUAGGAAAAAGAAAUAUAAAUGUCAAAACCAAAAUUUAAAGGCCAGACUUGCAGAAUCAAUCAGCGUUGAGCCCUUGAAUGCUAUAAAUUUCCCUAUAGCUCAAUUAUAAUCCUUUGUGAAGAGUAAACUGCCACUGUUCAUAAUUUAGGAAGGUGAUGUUCAUACGCAAUGUAGCUCGUGGUUUUAACAUUAAAAGAUCCUCCUAAGCAUAAUACAACGGAUUAGCAGUCUGACGCUUUAGUCCACUCAGCUAUCUCUCCCAAUUGAAAAAAGAUAAUUAUAAGACUUUACUACCUCAUAUAAUAAUUGUUGACAGGAGAGCAGAUUCAAAAGGAACUAUCAUUGCACUCCAGUCCAACACUCUCGAAAUUGAGUAAUUACCAAUACGAAUUAAAGCAAGGUCGAUAAGAAUUCAACAUAUUUCCAGAAACAUAUACAGUCAAUGUAGAAAAACAAUAUCCAGGUUUGGUUAUCUUUCUUUACACAAAAAAAAA